Molecule: ribosomal RNA, 260 nt
Filed under: Aeromonas hydrophila
Lineage: Bacteria; Pseudomonadati; Pseudomonadota; Gammaproteobacteria; Aeromonadales; Aeromonadaceae
Description: partial 16S ribosomal RNA
Rfam family: Bacterial small subunit ribosomal RNA
Source: RNAcentral
CCGCAACGAGCGCAACCCCUGUCCUUUGUUGCCAGCACGUAAUGGUGGGAACUCAAGGGAGACUGCCGGUGAUAAACCGGAGGAAGGGGGGGAUGACGUCAAGUCAUCAUGGCCCUUACGGCCAGGGCUACACACGUGCUACAAUGGCGCGUACAGAGGGCUGCAAGCUAGCGAUAGUGAGCGAAUCCCAAAAAGCGCGUCGUAGUCCGGAUCGGAGUCUGCAACUCGACUCCGUGAAGUCGGAAUCGCUAGUAAUCGCA